RNAcentral lists this long non-coding RNA (332 nucleotides) under Hordeum vulgare. RNAcentral describes it as "long non-coding RNA (HVUL_LNC008088)". Lineage: Eukaryota; Viridiplantae; Streptophyta; Magnoliopsida; Poales; Poaceae. The record is from RNAcentral.
AGGAAGGCAUAUCACGUAGCAGCCAUGGCCAGGUGUGCACAGUCUGACGACAAAGGGCUGAAUUGCUUUUCUGUUUUUAGAUCGAGGGAUGUGUAUGUAAAUUUUUUGCUAAGUCAACUUCUUACAAUCAGGUUUCACUUAUCCACUUGUCAGAAAGUAAUCAAUUGGGAUAAAUCAUUCGACCAGUGCAAUUUGCAAAAAAAUUACUAUGUAUGUCGUCAAUUGGGCUAAAGGUGCUCACCACGUUCCCGUGUGGUGUCGUCGUCCGACUCUCUCGUGUGUUUUCUUUCACCACUUGAUGUCUGGGUUGCAUAAGCUGUUUGACUAUGUAU